Molecule: ribosomal RNA, 752 nt
Filed under: Streptomyces sp. RK57
Lineage: Bacteria; Bacillati; Actinomycetota; Actinomycetes; Kitasatosporales; Streptomycetaceae
Description: bacterial SSU rRNA
Rfam family: Bacterial small subunit ribosomal RNA
Source: RNAcentral
GGGGAGGGGAUUAGUGGCGAACGGGUGAGUAACACGUGGGCAAUCUGCCCUGCACUCUGGGACAAGCCCUGGAAACGGGGUCUAAUACCGGAUAUGAGCCUCCAUCGCAUGGUGGGGGCUGUAAAGCUCCGGCGGUGCAGGAUGASCCCGCGGCCUAUCAGCUUGUUGGUGAGGUAAUGGCUCACCAAGGCGACGACGGGUAGCCGGCCUGAGAGGGCGACCGGCCACACUGGGACUGAGACACGGCCCAGACUCCUACGGGAGGCAGCAGUGGGGAAUAUUUGCACAAUGGGCGCAAGCCUGAUGCAGCGACGCCGCGUGAGGGAUGACGGCCUUCGGGUUGUAAACCUCUUUCAGCAGGGAAGAAGCGAAAGUGACGGUACCUGCAGAAGAAGCGCCGGCUAACUACGUGCCAGCAGCCGCGGUAAUACGUAGGGCGCAAGCGUUGUCCGGAAUUAUUGGGCGUAAAGAGCUCGUAGGCGGCUUGUCGCGUCGGUUGUGAAAGCCCGGGGCUUAACCCCGGGUCUGCAGUCGAUACGGGCAGGCUAGAGUUCGGUAGGGGAGAUCGGAAUUCCUGGUGUAGCGGUGAAAUGCGCAGAUAUCAGGAGGAACACCGGUGGCGAAGGCGGAUCUCUGGGCCGAUACUGACGCUGAGGAGCGAAAGCGUGGGGAGCGAACAGGAUUAGAUACCCUGGUAGUCCACGCCGUAAACGGUGGGCACUAGGUGUGGGCAACAUUCCACGUUGUCCGUG